This is a long non-coding RNA of Pan troglodytes (chimpanzee), 544 nucleotides long. RefSeq lists it as uncharacterized. Lineage: Eukaryota; Metazoa; Chordata; Mammalia; Primates; Hominidae. The record is from RefSeq and is a predicted model, not a curated record. The transcript has 2 exons.
AAGCGCGGUUCCAAUACCCGCCACCGGGAGGGCGGGCGGACUGGGUUCUCCCAGCUAGGUCGCAGUGGGCGAUGGGGAUCCCCAAGGGUGGGCCGAGAGCUGACGGAUCGGCAGCGCUGGUUAAGGCCCCGCACCUGCAGUCCCAGUGACCUUGAACGAUUCCGCUCUGCGGCGGGUGUCCCUAAACUAGCGGUUUAGGGUGUCAGUAAAUCUUGCUGCUGCUCACUCUUUGGGUCCACGCUGCCUUUAUGAGCUGUAACACUCACUGCGAAGGUUUGCAGCUUUCCUCCUGAGCCAGGGAGACCACGAACCCACCAGAAGGAAGAAACUCCAAACACAUCCGAAGAUCAGAAGGAACCAACUCUGGACGCCCCACUUUUAAGAACUGUAACACUCACUGCGAUGGUCUGCGGCUUCGUUCUUGAAGUCAGUGAGACCAAGAACCCACUAAUUCCGGACACACAGGGAUUACAGGCAUGAGCCACUGUGCCUGGCCCAGUUUAAGUUUAAAGUGAAAGUAUUAUCGAAUAAAAUGUUUGUCUGA